This 85-nucleotide transfer RNA is filed under the name Felis catus (domestic cat). It matches the Rfam family "tRNA". Rfam says of the family: Transfer RNA (tRNA) molecules are approximately 80 nucleotides in length. Their secondary structure includes four short double-helical elements and three loops (D, anti-codon, and T loops). Further hydrogen bonds mediate the characteristic L-shaped molecular structure. tRNAs have two regions of fundamental functional importance: the anti-codon, which is responsible for specific mRNA codon recognition, and the 3' end, to which the tRNAs corresponding amino acid is attached (by aminoacyl-tRNA synthetases). tRNAs cope with the degeneracy of the genetic code in two manners: having more than one tRNA (with a specific anti-codon) for a particular amino acid; and 'wobble' base-pairing, i.e. permitting non-standard base-pairing at the 3rd anti-codon position. The record is from Rfam by way of RNAcentral. Lineage: Eukaryota; Metazoa; Chordata; Mammalia; Carnivora; Felidae.
GCCUGGGUGGCUCAGUCGGUUAAGCGUCCGACUUCGGCUCAGGUCAUGAUCUCACAGCUCGUGGGUUCGAGCCCCACGUCGGGCU